RNAcentral lists this long non-coding RNA (329 nucleotides) under Musa acuminata (dwarf banana). RNAcentral's name for it is "long non-coding RNA (MACU_LNC004433)". The record is from RNAcentral. Lineage: Eukaryota; Viridiplantae; Streptophyta; Magnoliopsida; Zingiberales; Musaceae.
GCAGGACCGGGGGAGGAAGUGCGAGAGGAGGGCGUGGGUGCCGCCGUAGAGGCAUCGGGAGGCAACCACGUGACCGCCGGCGCCGCAGAUCUGGAUGAGGACGGAUGAGAUGGCGGACAUACCGCUGGCGGUGCAGUAGGCGGCCUCGGUGCCCUCGACGGCGGCCAUCUGGCGGCCGAGGUUGAGGACGGUUGGGUUGAAGUGCCGGCUGUAGAUGUAGAAGUCGCGGUCGGGUCCGAGCUCACCCGAGAACAUGCGCCGCAUGGUCUCCGCCUCCAUCACAGUGAACGUCGCCGACGCCUCGAUCGACAUGUUCACCCCGCCGUGCU